GUUUGUUCUGUGACAUGCAGAAGCAGGGUGAGGAAUACGCCAGCUCAAUGGAUGUCAUGGAGGAAAACAUGUCACCAAAGAAGAUGCUUGAGAAAAUUGCAGAGCUGGAAUACAGUCAGAGUCUGCUGAGAGAUCAAAAUGCUGACAUGAGGAAAUUGCUGGAUGCCGCAGAUGAUGACAUGGCAGCGCUGGGCUCAGAGAAUAAGUCCCUCAGAAAAGUAGUUGAAACCAUGGAGAACUUUUUCCAAGACUUGCAACAGACUGAAGCAGAGCCUUGCAUAGCUCUGGCAGAUGACUUCGAGGCACAUAGAUGGAAUGUAGAAAAGAUCCAUGAAUUGGAGAAGGAAUCCACCGUAAUGAAGGAACAAUAUGAGAAACUAACUGCAAAGCUCAAAAGCCUCCAGAAAGAGAUAGACCAGGACAAGCUCACUUUGAGCAACCUGAAGUUUGAAAUUCAGGGCUUGAAGUUUCAAAGGGAAGAGGACCAGUCAAAACUGGAGCACAAGGAUGAGGUUAUUCAUCAGGCAAGUAUAGACUUGCAGUUGAAGCAAUUACAUGAAACUGUGGAAGAGUGCUUCAACAACAUAAAGGACCUCAGGCAGACAACGCAGGAGCUGAGUAAGCAGAUGGAGGACAGACGAGAUGAGGCCACAUUUGACCUGAUGAGAGAGAAGGAACGAGUGCCCGACCGCCCUCUGUCCUUUGCAGAGGAAAUUAAACUGCUGGCCUCAACAGCUGAAGUGAAUGACGGCAUGACAAACUCCACAAAUCUUGGAAAUUGUCUACAGGAGGAACCUGAGACUGAGGAGCUGCUGAAACCUCAUCUUCUCACAGUUAACCUUCAAUCUAAAAGCUGCCCAGGUACUUUGGAGGCAGCGAUCUGGAGAGUAGGUUUCUUUAUGCUGUGCAUCUUCAUUCUCAUGAUUUUAGCCAUUGUGGCUUCAGGAUGCUUUGUAGGAACAUCUGACUUCUCUUCCAUCACCACUUUGUGGGCUAGCGCCCACCUGAUGUUACAGCCCUACUUGAGUGUACAGUAUGGGGCCUUGCCUCCCAUUUGAGCUUAACUCUCUCUCUCUGGUCUGUUCUUGUAUUUCUGUUCUUGUAUUUUUUGUAAACAUGAGUUCAGAAAACAAACAAAUAAAACUUCAGCCUC
Molecule: long non-coding RNA, 1153 nt
Organism: Oreochromis aureus
Lineage: Eukaryota; Metazoa; Chordata; Actinopteri; Cichliformes; Cichlidae
Source: Ensembl